This is a long non-coding RNA of Hyalella azteca, 172 nucleotides long. RefSeq lists it as uncharacterized. NCBI's taxonomy places the organism in Eukaryota, Metazoa, Arthropoda, Malacostraca, Amphipoda, Hyalellidae. The record is from RefSeq and is a predicted model, not a curated record. The transcript has 2 exons.
GUUCAUACGCCCGUCUCUCUGUCUCUGUUCAUACAAAGAAUAAGUAGCCAACGCAAUCUGAUGUUGAACCUGUUAGGCCAUACGUUAUUCAUCCUUGUGACCUGGUACUUACUACGCGGUACUCCUAUACGAACUAUCUUACACGUUUACGAGUAAAGUGGAGAACCCCGUC